CCCUUAGAUGUUCUGGGCCGCACACGCGCUACACUGAAGGAGGCAGCGUGUACUCCUGGAUCGAAAGAUUUGGGUAACCCGCGAAUCUCCUUCGUGCUAGGGAUUGAGGUUUGCAAUUAUCCUUCAUGAACGAGGAAUUCCCAGUAAGUGCAAGUCAUAAGCUUGCGCUGACUACGUCCCUGCCCUUUGUACACACCGCCCGUCGCUACUACCGAUUGAAUGAUUUAGUGAGGACUUCGGACUGGGACCGAUGCGGCUUUCGGGCUGCGUCGGAAUUCUGGAAAGAUGUCCAAACUGUAUCAUUUAGAGGAAGUAAAAGUCGUAACA
RNAcentral lists this ribosomal RNA (327 nucleotides) under uncultured eukaryote. RNAcentral's name for it is "partial 18S ribosomal RNA". It matches the Rfam family "Eukaryotic small subunit ribosomal RNA", at positions 1470 to 1796 of the family's 1831-position model. The record is from RNAcentral.